Molecule: ribosomal RNA, 253 nt
Filed under: uncultured bacterium
Lineage: Bacteria
Description: partial 16S ribosomal RNA
Rfam family: Bacterial small subunit ribosomal RNA
Source: RNAcentral
UACGAAGGGGGCUAGCGUUGCUCGGAAUCACUGGGCGUAAAGGGUGCGUAGGCGGGGCUUUAAGUCAGGGGUGAAAUCCUGGAGCUCAACUCCAGAACUGCCUUUGAUACUGAAGAUCUUGAGUUCGGGAGAGGUGAGUGGAACUGCGAGUGUAGAGGUGAAAUUCGUAGAUAUUCGCAAGAACACCAGUGGCGAAGGCGGCUCACUGGCCCGAUACUGACGCUGAGGCGCGAAAGCUAGGGGAGCAAACGGG